RNAcentral lists this transfer RNA (74 nucleotides) under Rhizocola hellebori. RNAcentral's name for it is "tRNA-Pro". The record is from RNAcentral. Lineage: Bacteria; Bacillati; Actinomycetota; Actinomycetes; Micromonosporales; Micromonosporaceae.
CCGGGGCGAGGGAGACGGCUAACCCGCCUGCUUUGGGAGCAGGACAUACCGAGUUCGACUCUCGGGCCCCGGAC